GACGAACGCUGGCGGCGUGCCUAAUACAUGCAAGUAGAACGCUGAAGAGAGGAGCUUGCUCUUCUUGGAUGAGUUGCGAACGGGUGAGUAACGCGUAGGUAACCUGCCUUGUAGCGGGGGAUAACUAUUGGAAACGAUAGCUAAUACCGCAUAACAAUGGAUGACACAUGUCAUUUAUUUGAAAGGGGCAAUUGCUCCACUACAAGAUGGACCUGCGUUGUAUUAGCUAGUAGGUGAGGUAAUGGCUCACCUAGGCGACGAUACAUAGCCGACCUGAGAGGGUGCUCGGCCACACUGGGACUGAGACACGGCCCAGACUCCUACGGGAGGCAGCAGUAGGGAAUCUUCGGCAAUGGGGGCAACCCUGACCGAGCAACGCCGCGUGAGUGAAGAAGGUUUUCGGAUCGUAAAGCUCUGUUGUAAGUCAAGAACGGGUGUGAGAGUGGAAAGUUCACACUGUGACGGUAGCUUACCAGAAAGGGACGGCUAACUACGUG
This 497-nucleotide ribosomal RNA is filed under the name uncultured bacterium. RNAcentral describes it as "partial 16S ribosomal RNA". It matches the Rfam family "Bacterial small subunit ribosomal RNA", at positions 28 to 507 of the family's 1533-position model. The record is from RNAcentral.